This 242-nucleotide ribosomal RNA is filed under the name uncultured bacterium. RNAcentral's name for it is "partial 16S ribosomal RNA". It matches the Rfam family "Bacterial small subunit ribosomal RNA", at positions 118 to 347 of the family's 1533-position model. The record is from RNAcentral.
UGGGUAACCUGCCUCAAAGAGGGGAAUAGCCUCCCGAAAGGGAGAUUAAUACCGCAUAAUAUGUUUAAGUCGCAUGACUUUAACAUCAAAGGAUUUUCUUUUAGAACUUCCACUUUGAGAUGGACCCGCGGCGCAUUAGCUAGUUGGCGAGGUAACGGCUCACCAAGGCAACGAUGCGUAGCCGACCUGAGAGGGUGAUCGGCCACAUUGGAACUGAGACACGGUCCAGACUCCGUAGGGAG